GCCGCCGCGGUAAUACGUAGGUGGCGAGCGUUGUCCGGAUUUACUGGGCGUAAAGGGAGCGUAGGCGGACUUUUAAGUGAGAUGUGAAAUACCCGGGCUCAACUUGGGUGCUGCAUUUCAAACUGGAAGUCUAGAGUGCAGGAGAGGAGAAUGGAAUUCCUAGUGUAGCGGUGAAAUGCGUAGAGAUUAGGAAGAACACCAGUGGCGAAGGCGAUUCUCUGGACUGUAACUGACGCUGAGGCUCGAAAGCGUGGGGAGCAAACAGGAUUAGAUACCCC
This 278-nucleotide ribosomal RNA is filed under the name uncultured Clostridium sp. RNAcentral's name for it is "partial 16S ribosomal RNA". It matches the Rfam family "Bacterial small subunit ribosomal RNA", at positions 511 to 788 of the family's 1533-position model. Lineage: Bacteria; Bacillati; Bacillota; Clostridia; Eubacteriales; Clostridiaceae. The record is from RNAcentral.